RNAcentral lists this ribosomal RNA (303 nucleotides) under Salmonella enterica subsp. enterica serovar Agona str. SA-3. RNAcentral describes it as "bacterial LSU rRNA". It matches the Rfam family "Bacterial large subunit ribosomal RNA", at positions 2631 to 2925 of the family's 2925-position model. The record is from RNAcentral. Lineage: Bacteria; Pseudomonadati; Pseudomonadota; Gammaproteobacteria; Enterobacterales; Enterobacteriaceae.
UCGGUCCCUAUCUGCCGUGGGCGCUGGAGAACUGAGGGGGGCGUGCUCCUAGUACGAGAGGACCGGAGUGGACGCAUCACUGGUGUUCGGGUUGUCAUGCCAAUGGCACUGCCCGGUAGCUAAAUGCGGAAGAGAUAAGUGCUGAAAGCAUCUAAGCACGAAACUUGCCCCGAGAUGAGUUCUCCCUGAGACUUAGAGUCUCCUGAAGGAACGUUGAAGACGACGACGUUGAUAGGCCGGGUGUGUAAGCGCAGCGAUGCGUUGAGCUAACCGGUACUAAUGAACCGUGAGGCUUAACCUUAC